CCCUUCGGGGGCGGAUCAGUGGCGAACGGGUGAGUAACACGUGGGCAACCUGCCCCUAGCUCUGGGAUAACCCCGGGAAACCGGGGCUAAUACCGGAUAUGACCCUGAUGGACAUCUGUCGGGGUGGAAAGUUUUUCGGCUAGGGAUGGGCCCGCGGCCUAUCAGCUUGUUGGUGAGGUAACGGCCCACCAAGGCGACGACGGGUAGCCGGCCUGAGAGGGCGACCGGCCACACUGGGACUGAGACACGGCCCAG
RNAcentral lists this ribosomal RNA (255 nucleotides) under uncultured bacterium. RNAcentral's name for it is "partial 16S ribosomal RNA". It matches the Rfam family "Bacterial small subunit ribosomal RNA", at positions 76 to 334 of the family's 1533-position model. The record is from RNAcentral.